ACCAGUGUGGUGUAGUGGUUUGAAUGUUGGACUACAACUCUGGAGAUCAGGGUUCGAGUCCCUGCUUGGCCA
This 72-nucleotide transfer RNA is filed under the name Phrynosoma platyrhinos (Desert horned lizard). RNAcentral describes it as "tRNA-OTHER". The stretch from base 9 to 72 matches the Rfam family "tRNA". From Rfam's summary of the family: Transfer RNA (tRNA) molecules are approximately 80 nucleotides in length. Their secondary structure includes four short double-helical elements and three loops (D, anti-codon, and T loops). The record is from RNAcentral. Lineage: Eukaryota; Metazoa; Chordata; Lepidosauria; Squamata; Phrynosomatidae.